This 472-nucleotide ribosomal RNA is filed under the name uncultured bacterium. Its description in RNAcentral is "bacterial SSU rRNA". It matches the Rfam family "Bacterial small subunit ribosomal RNA", at positions 355 to 825 of the family's 1533-position model. The record is from RNAcentral.
UGGGGAAUUUUGGACAAUGGGGGCAACCCUGAUCCAGCAAUGCCGCGUGAGUGAAGAAGGCCUUCGGGUUGUAAAGCUCUUUUGUCAGGGAAGAAACGGUAGUAGCGAAUAACUAUUACUAAUGACGGUACCUGAAGAAUAAGCACCGGCUAACUACGUGCCAGCAGCCGCGGUAAUACGUAGGGUGCAAGCGUUAAUCGGAAUUACUGGGCGUAAAGCGUGCGCAGGCGGUUGUGUAAGUCAGAUGUGAAAUCCCCGGGCUCAACCUGGGAAUUGCAUUUGAGACUGCACGGCUAGAGUGUGUCAGAGGGGGGUAGAAUUCUACGUGUAGCAGUGAAAUGCGUAGAUAUGUGGAGGAAUACCGAUGGCGAAGGCAGCCCCCUGGGAUAACACUGACGCUCAUGCACGAAAGCGUGGGGAGCAAACAGGAUUAGAUACCCACGUAGUCCCUGAGCGGGCUGGCAAGGCGCAU